This is a non-coding RNA of Stegodyphus mimosarum, 73 nucleotides long. The record is from Rfam. NCBI's taxonomy places the organism in Eukaryota, Metazoa, Arthropoda, Arachnida, Araneae, Eresidae.
GCCUUCGUGGUGUAGUGGUCAGCACGCUCGACGCAUAACUGAGAGGUCCGUGGUUCGAUUCCCGGCGAAGGGG